Molecule: ribosomal RNA, 250 nt
Filed under: uncultured bacterium
Lineage: Bacteria
Description: partial 16S ribosomal RNA
Rfam family: Bacterial small subunit ribosomal RNA
Source: RNAcentral
UACGUAGGGGGCAAGCGUUGUUCGGAUUUACUGGGUGUAAAGGGCGUGUAGGCGGAGUGAUUUGUCGGAAGUGAAAUCGUGCGGCUUAACCGUAGCAAUGGCUUCCGAAACGGUCACCCUUGAGUGCGAGAGGGGCAGAUGGAAUUCCAGGUGUAGCGGUGGAAUGCGUAGAUAUCUGGAAGGACACCGGUGGCGAAGGCGAUCUGCUGGCUCGUAACUGACGCUGAGGCGCGAAAGUGUGGGGAGCAAA